CCUACGGGUGGCAGCAGUGGGGAAUCUUGGACAAUGGGCGAAAGCCUGAUCCAGCCAUGCCGCGUGUGUGAAGAAGGCCUUCGGGUUGUAAAGCACUUUCAGUGGGGAAGAAAGCCUUGGGGCUAAUACCCUCGAGGAAGGACAUCACCCACAGAAGAAGCACCGGCUAACUCCGUGCCAGCAGCCGCGGUAAUACGGAGGGUGCGAGCGUUAAUCGGAAUUACUGGGCGUAAAGCGCGCGUAGGCGGUCUGAUAAGCCGGUUGUGAAAGCCCCGGGCUCAACCUGGGAACGGCAUCCGGAACUGUCAGGCUAGAGUGCAGGAGAGGAAGGUAGAAUUCCCGGUGUAGCGGUGAAAUGCGUAGAGAUCGGGAGGAAUACCAGUGGCGAAGGCGGCCUUCUGGACUGACACUGACGCUGAGGUGCGAAAGCGUGGGUAGCAAACAGGAUUAGAUACCCUAGUAGUC
This 465-nucleotide ribosomal RNA is filed under the name Vreelandella stevensii. RNAcentral's name for it is "partial 16S ribosomal RNA". It matches the Rfam family "Bacterial small subunit ribosomal RNA", at positions 338 to 795 of the family's 1533-position model. Lineage: Bacteria; Pseudomonadati; Pseudomonadota; Gammaproteobacteria; Oceanospirillales; Halomonadaceae. The record is from RNAcentral.